UAAUACCAGCAGCUCAAGUGGUGAUCCUUAUUAUUGGGCCUAAAGCGUCCGUAGCCGGUCUGGUAAAUCCUUGGGUAAAUCGUACGGCUUAACCGUACGAACUCUGGGGAGACUGCCAGACUUGGGACUGGGAGAGGUCGGAGGUACUCCAGGGGUAGGGGUGAAAUCCUGUAAUCCUUGGGGGACCACCAGUGGCGAAGGCGUCCGACUAGAACGGAUCCGACGGUGAGGGACGAAGCCCUGGGGCACAAACCGGAUUAGAUACCCGGGUAGUCCAGGGUGUAAACGCUGCGAGCUUGGUGUUGGAGGUCCUACGAGGGCGUCCAGUGCCGGAGAGAAGUUGUUAAGCUCGCCGCCUGGGGAGUACGAUCGCAAGAUUG
This 380-nucleotide ribosomal RNA is filed under the name uncultured Thermoplasmata archaeon. RNAcentral describes it as "bacterial SSU rRNA". It matches the Rfam family "Archaeal small subunit ribosomal RNA", at positions 471 to 851 of the family's 1478-position model. The record is from RNAcentral. Lineage: Archaea; Methanobacteriati; Thermoplasmatota; Thermoplasmata.